UACGAAGGGGGCUAGCGUUAAUCGGAAUUACUGGGCGUAAAGCGUGCGUAGGCGGUUCGUUGUGUCUGUGGUGAAAGCCCCGGGCUUAACCUGGGAAUGGCCAUGGAAACUGGCGAGCUGGAGUGUGGCAGAGGGGGGUGGAAUUCCGCGUGUAGCAGUGAAAUGCGUAGAGAUGCGGAGGAACACCGAUGGCGAAGGCAGCCCCCUGGGCUAACACUGACGCUGAGGCACGAAAGCGUGGGGAGCAAACAGG
This 253-nucleotide ribosomal RNA is filed under the name uncultured bacterium. RNAcentral describes it as "partial 16S ribosomal RNA". It matches the Rfam family "Bacterial small subunit ribosomal RNA", at positions 524 to 776 of the family's 1533-position model. The record is from RNAcentral.